AUUGAACGCUGGCGGCAGGCCUAACACAUGCAAGUCGAACGAGUGGCGGACGGGUGAGUAAUGUCUGGGAAACUGCCCGAUGGAGGGGGAUAACUACUGGAAACGGUAGCUAAUACCGCAUACCAUCGGAUGUGCCCAGAUGGGAUUAGCUAGUAGGUGGGGUAACGGCUCACCUAGGCGACGAUCCCUAGCUGGUCUGAGAGGAUGACCAGCCACAUUUGAACAGGGCCACGUUCCAGACUCCUACGGGAGGCAGCAGUGGGGAAUAUUGCACAAUGGGUGCAAGCCUGAUGCAUCCAUGCCGAGUGUAUGAAGAAGGCCUUCGGGUUGUAAAGGACUUUCAGCGGGGAGGCGUUACCCGCAGAAGAAGCACCGGCGAACUCCGUGCCAGCAGCCGCGGUAAUUC
This 406-nucleotide ribosomal RNA is filed under the name uncultured bacterium. RNAcentral's name for it is "partial 16S ribosomal RNA". It matches the Rfam family "Bacterial small subunit ribosomal RNA", at positions 30 to 526 of the family's 1533-position model. The record is from RNAcentral.